RNAcentral lists this ribosomal RNA (471 nucleotides) under uncultured bacterium. RNAcentral's name for it is "bacterial SSU rRNA". It matches the Rfam family "Bacterial small subunit ribosomal RNA", at positions 8 to 525 of the family's 1533-position model. The record is from RNAcentral.
AGGGUUUGAUUAUGGCUCAGAACGAACGCUGGCGGCAGGCCUUAUACAUGCAAGUCGAGCGCAUCCUUCGGGAUGAGCGGCGGACGGGUGAGUAACGCGUGGGAAUGUGCCCUUCUCUACGGAAUAGCCACUGGAAACGGUGAGUAAUACCGUAUACGCCCUCAGGGGGAAAGAUUUAUCGGAGAAGGAUCAGCCCGCGUUAGAUUAGGUAGUUGGUGGGGUAACGGCCUACCAAGCCUACGAUCUAUAGCUGGUUUUAGAGGAUGAUCAGCCACACUGGGACUGAGACACGGCCCAGACUCCUACGGGAGGCAGCAGUAGGGAAUCUUGGACAAUGGGGGCAACCCUGAUCCAGCCAUGCCGCGUGAGUGAAGAAGGCCCUAGGGUCGUAAAGCUCUUUCGCCUGUGAUGAUAAUGACAGUAGCAGGUAAAGAAACCCCGGCUAACUCCGUGCCAGCCGCCGCGGUAAUA